This 1643-nucleotide long non-coding RNA is filed under the name Nicotiana benthamiana. RNAcentral describes it as "long non-coding RNA (NBEN_LNC011260)". Lineage: Eukaryota; Viridiplantae; Streptophyta; Magnoliopsida; Solanales; Solanaceae. The record is from RNAcentral.
UCAAACCUGCAUCGUCCGUGCGGACAACUUCCACUUCCUCUAGACCCAACUGGGCCGCCACUUCGGGACGGUUUCAGGCGAACGUUACUAGAAGAGGAUUUGUGAAAUUUGGACAAAAUACGUAAUCUUAACUCUCACACGUAUAAUAUUCAAAAAACUCGACACAAUCCAUAAAGUUAAAGAAGACUUUACAUUAAACUACAGUGCUAUAACUAUAUUUCCUUUUAAUCCAAUCCAUCAAUCAUCAAUUUCUGAGCAACCCCACAAGGAAAAAGUGUUAUUGCGACUUUUCUUCAUCUGAAAAAGACUCUAUAUAUUCAUUACCUUCUAAGUUUUGUCCUCAGAAAAGCAAAGCCCAUCAAAAAUUGAAUAUCCAGGUAGCUCAAAUUCUUAUCUUUUCAUCUGUAUUUAUCCUAAAUUUCCUCAAGAUUGUAACUUUUCCGUUUUGGGUUUAAGAUUUUACAUUUGAGUGAGUUAAUUCAGGUACCUCAAAUUCAUGUCUAAUUUACACUCUUUAAUAAAAAUUCAUAGUUCAAGGUUGUAACUUUUUGGUUUUGGGUUUAUGCUUUUUAUGUUUGCGUGAGUUAAUUGGUCCAGAAUUUCUUGAUUCUGACAUUUUAAUUCCCCUUUAUUGCGAUUAAUUUUAGCUGAUUGUAAAAGAUGUUAUUUUUUUCAUCCUUUGAUCUACAAUGCUUGAAGUUUCAAGCUUGCUUACAAAUUUACGGUCUUGAUUUUGUUACAAAAUUUGGAUUGAGAUUUGGACAUUCUUUUUAUAGGUCAAUUUGUUAAUAUGAUGUUAGGUUUCAAGCUCGUUUAGCUACAAUCCUCCAAUUUUGUGUUCAAGAGCACACCAUUAUAGCUGGGAUGGACGACAAAACCCCUGAAAUCUCAGUUUUAUAGAGUUUAUUACCUUAUCUUGUUGGUGUUACUAUGUGUUGUGUCUGCUUCCUUUACUUUUAUCUUGAGCCGGGGUCUAACUGAAAAAGACUCUCUACCUUCACAAGGUAGGGAUAAAGUAUGUGAACCCUCCACCCCUCCCAGACCCCACUUUGUGAGAUUACAGUGGUUUUUGUUGUUGUUGUUAUAGAGUUUAUUACCUACCCGAAAAAGAAAGAAGCAAAAAGACCCAUCCCUCUUGAUUAGUCUUCUGCUGUUCUUUGGUAGUGGGAUAUCUGUUUGGGAAUUCAAACUAGGAGCUCCAAUUUCCUUUGCUGCUUAUGUGGCAUUGUGGAUUUUUAUACUAGUUGAGAAGAGCCUAAACCUUGUCAGAAGGAAAUUAAAGAAAAGUACAUCUUAUGCUUUUCAAAUCCCUUUCUCUUGACAUGUUUUAGUCAUUUCAGCAUGUAGCAAGAUUUAUUUGGCAAAAUAGGGGGCUAACCUUGUGCAAUGAUAUACAAAGGUAAAGCCAAUCUAUACAGCACUAAAGUAUACUGAAUUCACCAAAACCAAUAGCUCUAGUAGUCUGUUAUGUGUGAUGGUUGGAAAAUCUUCUUUUGCUUAGUGCGUCUCCGAAUUUUUCCUCUUAUACUUUUGUCACGUGAGAUGGCUGAUGGUGUUUGAUGAUCUUAGGAUAAGUUGGUGAAUUGCUAAUGGAAGAACACUUAUUUUGUCACGUGAGAUGGCUGAUGAUGUUUGAUGAUCUU